Molecule: ribosomal RNA, 858 nt
Filed under: uncultured marine eukaryote
Lineage: Eukaryota
Description: SSU rRNA
Rfam family: Eukaryotic small subunit ribosomal RNA
Source: RNAcentral
AAAAAGCUCGUAGUUGGAUUUCUACCGAAGAUAGCCGGUCGGGUCUUCGGCCUUGUAUCUGGUUUUGUCUUUGGUAUCCUUAUGGGGAACGUUGCUGCGCUUUAUUGCGUGGUGCGGUAUCCAUAACUUUUACUUUGAGGAAAUUAGAGUGUUCACGGCAGGCAAACGCCCUGAAUAUAUUAGCAUGGAAUAAUAACAUAGGAUCUUCGUCCUAUUUUGUUGGUUUCUAGGGCUAAGAUAAUGAUUAAUAGGGAUAAUUGGGGGCAUCUGUAUCAACGCGUCAGAGGUGGAAUUCUUGGAUUGCGUUGCGACAAACUACUGCGAAAGCAUUUGCCAAGGAUGUUUUCAUUGAUCAAGAACGAAAGUAAGGGGAUCGAAGACGAUUAGAUACCGUCGUAGUCUUUACCAUAAACUAUGCCAACUAGGGAUCGGUGGUCGUUCUUUCUAUGACUCCAUCGGCACCUUAUGAGAUAUCAAAGUUUUUGGGUUCCGGGAGGAGUAUGGUCGCAAGGCUGAAACUUAAAGGAAUUGACGGAAGGGCACCACCAGGAGUGGAGCCUGCGGCUUAAUUUGACUCAACACGGGAAAACUCACCAGGUCCAGACAAAAAUAGGAUUGACAGAUUGAUAGCUCUUUCUUGAUUCUUUGGGUGGUGGUGCAUGGCCGUUCUUAGUUGGUGGAGUGAUUUGUCUGCUUAAUUGCGUUAACGAACGAGACCUCAGCCUGCUAAAUAGUGCGUUCUAACCUCGGUUAAAUCGAUCACUUCUUAGAGGGACUUUGCCCGCUUUAGGGUAGGGAAGCUUGAGUCUAAAACAGGUCUGUAAUGCCCUUAGAUGUUCUGGGCUGCACGCGCGCUAC